GGCUACCUGGCGCAAUGGUAGCGCGUUUGGCUUCGAUCGCCGGACGGCUAUUGCCGAAAGAUCACGUGAUCUGUCACCAAAAGGUUGCAGGUUCGAGUCCUGCGGUGGUCA
This is a non-coding RNA of Pilatotrama ljubarskyi, 111 nucleotides long. Lineage: Eukaryota; Fungi; Basidiomycota; Agaricomycetes; Polyporales; Polyporaceae. The record is from the annotation of a GenBank genome assembly.